Molecule: small RNA, 127 nt
Filed under: Marmota monax (woodchuck)
Lineage: Eukaryota; Metazoa; Chordata; Mammalia; Rodentia; Sciuridae
Source: RNAcentral
GCUGGGUGCAGUGGCGUGCACCUGUAAUUCCAGGGGUUUGGGAGGCUGAGGCAGGAGGAUUGGAAGUUCAAAGACAGCCUUGGCAAUUUAGGGAGGUCCUAAGCAACUCAGCAAGACCCUGUCUCUA